RNAcentral lists this ribosomal RNA (478 nucleotides) under uncultured bacterium. RNAcentral describes it as "partial 16S ribosomal RNA". It matches the Rfam family "Bacterial small subunit ribosomal RNA", at positions 28 to 523 of the family's 1533-position model. The record is from RNAcentral.
GUCGAACGCUGGCGGCGUGCUUAACACAUGCAAGUCGAACGGUAAGGCCCUUCGGGGUACACGAGUGGCGAACGGGUGAGUAACACGUGGGUGAUCUGCCCUGCACUUCGGGAUAAGCCUGGGAAACUGGGUCUAAUACCGGAUAGGACCACUGCCUGCAUGGGUGGUGGUGGAAAGCUUUUGCGGUGUGGGAUGGGCCCGCGGCCUAUCAGCUUGUUGGUGGGGUGAUGGCCUACCAAGGCGACGCCGGGUAGCCGGCCUGGGAGGGUGACCGGCCACACUGGGACUGAGAUACGGCCCAGACGCCUACGGGAGGCAGCAGUGGGGAAUAUUGCACAAUGGGCGCAAGCCUGAUGCAGCGACGCCGCGUGAGGGAUGACGGCCUUCGGGUUGUAAACCUCUUUCAGCACCGACGAAGCGCAAGUGACGGUAGGUGCAGAAGAAGGACCGGCCAACUACGUGCCAGCCGCCGCGGUAA